CUGACGGUGCCGGACGGGUGAUUAAUGCAUAGGAAUCUGCCCGAUAGUGGGGGAUAACCUGGGGAAACCCAGGCUAAUACCGCAUACGUCCUACGGGAGAAAGGGGGCUUCGGCUCCCGCUAUCGGAUGAGCCUAUGUCGGAUUAGCUAGUUGGUGAGGUAAAGGCUCACCAAGGCAACGAUCCGUAGCUGGUCUGAGAGGAUGAUCAGCCACAUCGGGACUGAGACACGGCCCGAACUCCUACGGGAGGCAGCAGUGGGGAAUAUUGGACAAUGGGGGCAACCCUGAUCCAGCCAUGCCGCGUGUGUGAAGAAGGCCCUCGGGUUGUAAAGCACUUUCAGCGAGGAAGAACGCCUAGCGGUUAAUACCCGCUAGGAAAGACAUCACUCGCAGAAAAAGCACCGGCUAACUCCGUGCCAGCAGCCGCGGUAAUACGGAGGGUGCAAGCGUUAAUCGGAAUUACUGGGCGUAAAGCGCGCGUAGGUGGCUUGAUAAGCCGGUUGUGAAAGCCCCGGGCUCAACCUGGGAACGGCAUCCGGAACUGUCAAGCUAGAGUGCAGGAGAGGAAGGUAGAAUUCCCGGUGUAGCGGUGAAAUGCGUAGAGAUCGGGAGGAAUACCAGUGGCGAAGGCGGCCUUCUGGACUGACACUGACACUGAGGUGCGAAAGCGUGGGUAGCAAACAGGAUUAGAUACCCUGGUAGUCCACGCCGUAAACGAUGUCGACCAGCCGUUGGGUGCCUAGCGCACUUUGUGGCGAAGUUAACGCGAUAAGUCGACCGCCUGGGGGAGUACGGCCGCAAGGUUAAAACUCAAAUGAAUUGACGGGGGCCCGCACAAGCGGUGGAGCAUGUGGUUUAAUUCGAUGCAACGCGAAGAACCUUACCUACUCUUGACAUCCUGCGAAUUCGGUAGAGAUACCUUAGUGCCUUCGGGAACGCAGAGACAGUGCUGCAUGGCUGUCGUCAGCUCGUGUUGUGAAAUUGUUUGGGUUAAGUCCC
RNAcentral lists this ribosomal RNA (999 nucleotides) under Halomonas sp. EGY-WCQ2. RNAcentral describes it as "bacterial SSU rRNA". It matches the Rfam family "Bacterial small subunit ribosomal RNA", at positions 89 to 1088 of the family's 1533-position model. The record is from RNAcentral. Lineage: Bacteria; Pseudomonadati; Pseudomonadota; Gammaproteobacteria; Oceanospirillales; Halomonadaceae.